Molecule: long non-coding RNA, 5037 nt
Filed under: Gallus gallus (chicken)
Lineage: Eukaryota; Metazoa; Chordata; Aves; Galliformes; Phasianidae
Source: RNAcentral
AACUGCUAGCCCUGUUAGUUGAACUCUUUCUUUGGAUGAUUUUUCUCUGGGAUAGUUUUUGUGCUUUUUGCGAGCAGACCUGUAGCUCAGAGUGAACAUUCUGGGUGCACAUUCACCCAGUAAAGGCUACUCGUGCUCAUGUAGAAAAAAAUACACUCGAGCCUACAAGGACAAUCUCAUGUCUGAUGAACGGAGGAGGACUGCAGAGGCCCUUGGCAGACAUAGCAUUGCUAGAAAGAAUUUUUUAAACUCUCUUUUAAGAAGUAGGUUUAAAAACAAGCAUUGCCACAGUCUCAGUAUUUAUGCUUCAAGUGGACAAUAAUUUCAGAACCAGUUAAUCAUACUUCAAGGUUGGAAGGGUUUCUUGAAAAAUUCUUAGGCAACUCAUUGGGGACAAAAUGAACAGUGUCAUGAAGGAAUUCAAUUAUGUUACAUAUAAAUUAAUCUAAAAGAAUAAGGAAGGGAAAAAAAAUCAAAAUGAUAUCACUUAUUUAAGUUGAUUGUUUUGGCAAACAUAUUUCACUGUGUUACUCUGUAAGAGCUGCCAGAAAUUUUAUGGAAGGCUCAACAUUUUUAUUUCAAUGAAUUUGGCCUGACUGGGAGGACAAUGACGAGUGGGAAACAUUAAGCAUGCUUACUCAAAAAAAACAGCUAAAAUAUCACUGUCCCCUCUGGAUGUUCAAAUAAGAAAGAAAAAUGAUUUAAAUGUUGGCUAGGACCAAAUGUGGAUGACAAUAGUUAACGUGGGAUUCCCAUCUCAGUAGAUAUUUACUUCAGCAUCUGCGAUAUUCAACAAUAGAAGGAAAUAGUGGAAAUCAAUAGCAGGAUUUCCUUUGACAAUUCACUUUUAUUCUUUCUUCACUAAAGUCCCUUUAUUCUUGCAUAGUAAAAAUUGUAUACAUCAGUGACAGCUGGAGGGAAUGCAGCUCCAGGUCUAGAAACACCUCAAUCCAUCAACAAGGAGGUGUGGCAGCUGGUCAUUUCUGUCAUACAGGAAGGAAACUGUAGCCUUCACUUUGACCCAUGAAAAGCAAGUCAAGAAGGGGACAUUCAUGCUUAGACACUGGAUACAGUGGGGUCAAGAUCCAGAGGAAAGUUGUGAGUAAAAGAUACCAUAGUGCAAAGUUGCUUAGUCACUUGUUUCCAGCAGAUACCACUGUAUAUGUAGUUUCUUGUUGUGAACACAUCUGAGACACUGUCUGUAUCUGCACUAGCAGGCACUAGUUCAUUGUAGGAGUAUCUCUUUAGAAAUAAAAACUUGCUCUUCACUUUUUAUUCAUGGUGUUGUGAGCACAUUAGGAGCUGAACUAGAUCUCAUUUUGUGUUUUAAAUUUAACCAGUUUCACCAGCACUGUCAUCUAGUUCAUUUCAGAAUGAACAAACUGCAAAAGGAGAUAACAGGAGAUGCAUUUCAGAAGGGAAUUCCUGAUAUAAACAGAAAUGAGCUCUAUUGUCUCCCAUUGUUGCAGUAUGUAUGCAACCAACAGCACUGCUGCACAAGGCAGCUGAAGGAUACUGAAUCAGCAAUUAGUCAGCUGCCUGGCUUCUCUUGAAGCAGUAGCAGGAUCUGAAAGAAAACACUUAGAGUUCAGAAAAACCACUGUGAAGAGGAUUAAAAGAUAUGCAGUAACUGACAUGAAUUACAAGAGAAUUAGUUGAAGAAAUCACAUGAAGAGAUCUAGUAUGGAAUAGGUAAAAAUACUUUGAAUACCAAGAUCUAUUUCCUUGCUAUUUUGAGAGGUGCUUCUGAAUCUAUUGAUGGUGAAUUGAAAGACUAUCAAGAUUAUACUGCCAAACUGUUUAUAAAUAAGUUCAAAGGGAUGAGAGAUUGUUACCUAUUGGAGAUUUGCCAAAGCAAGUAAUCUUCAGAUAUACAAAUGUACCAAAAAACACUUCCAGACAACUUUUAGAUGUGUGACAUGUUUUGUCAGUGCCUGGUCAGUAAUAAUGCUCAUUAGAGAACGAGGGCAGCUACGGGAGGCAGUGCCUUUGUCUGCGCUGUAAGCACAAAUAUGUUAGUUGUUCACUGGCAAAUAUAUUGAGACAUCAACAACUUUUUGCUGAAUGUUGCUAGUCAAGGACUAUUUCAGGAGUUAGAACAGACAUUCUGAUAAGUCACUUCCAUUUUGUGUACCAUAAGAAAGGAACAGAGUUGCUCAAAGUAAUUAGCCUUCAUUUCACUGAUCACGGCAAGAACUGAAUGAAUUCAAUAGUAAGCAGAAAUGGUCAAAUAACUGCUUUUCUCUGCUUGAUGGCCAGCAAAGAAAACAAAACAAGGUAGAGUGGUUAGAGAGAAAAAUGUUCUAGUUCAUUAAAAAAAACCAAGGUUUUACAAAGAAGAUAUCACAAACUGAAAGUUAAGUUUCAUUUUGAGAGACAAUCUAAUUCCAAAUGUUUGUAGUAAGAAUCUAAGAAAGAAAAACUAGGUUCAAGGAGAAUAGUUAACCUUUACCACUGAUAGCUCAACAAUUAAAAUAAUCCCCAUACCUGUUAGGAAUUCGGUUUUGUUUAUUAAAAAGUUGUAAGUCUACCUCACUUUAUUCCUUCAUAAAUGACUGCUCAGCCAAGCUGUAAACGCUCAAUCUCUCACAGAUUUUCUUUAUUUCGUAUUAAAACAUGAAGUAAUAAUUCACGAUAAUCACAGAGUGGAAAUCUGUUUUCCUAUUUCCUAAGGUGAGGGAUCUAAUUAUCAGGCUGUAAAAUCUUUUUUCUCCAGUUCUCCAUAAAUACGUAGAUGACUUGCACAAAGCAAUACAUCUACAAAAGAGCAUAGCCUGUAUCAGGAUACUUAAAGAAGAUGACUACAACAUUCUGUAUUAUGUCCAUUCUGUACAUAUAACAUUGUUAAAAUGCUUUUUGGUUGAAAAGUGUGUGGGAUCCAAAUCUCCCACUUUCUGAAAAAGUCCUUUGGCUACAAACUACUAUUUAAAAGACUACUUAACCCAGUAAAAAAAGAAAAUGAACCUCAACCAAGCUGAAUAUAGAAGAAAGAUUUGAAGAAAUAUUAACAGAGGUGAAAAUAAAUAAAAAUGAAACCAGUAAGAUAUAGGAAACCAUUCAAUCAAUCACAUUUUCAGCAUUCAGACCAAAAUAACAAGUAAAAAUCCUUUUUAAAUUAAAAAUUCUAUUAAGAAAAUGCUUUUCUUGAGGGAAUGCUGUGAUAUGGUAAAACAUUUUAUUUUAUUUCCCUUGGAAGUGAAGUUGUUUCUUCUUUUUUUUUUUCUUCCGUAAAUAAAAGCACUAUCAAAAGAUGUUAAAGUUUUCCUAUUAAUUUGCAAGCCCCCCUCAGCCUCCCCUUUAUUUUCACUGAUGUGAAUGGCAAAACUGGGACCAUUAUUGUACAGAAAUUUCAUCCAUGAUUUUACCAAAAGAACAAGCAAAAGGAAUGUUUCCAUCUGAUCAGGACACUACGCAUUAAGAAGGUAUAAGAAGAGAGGGGAAAAUAAUGCAGACUGAAAAAUAAAACAGACUGAAAAAGUUUAAUUAGAAGAUCCUAAAGGACUGUGCCGGUUCUGCUUCUAUUCAAAACUGGCUCUGGUGUAAAUCUGAAGCUGACAUGCAUGGAGUAAUAAUGACUGGAGAAAAUAGAGAGCAAAUGCUCUUCUAAUUUCAUUUUAAUUUAUGUAUUGUUACAUGAGUCAACUGGCUCUCAAAGAAAUUAGGCAGUGGGAGAGAUUUCAGAGAAGUAGCAACUCAUCUGAAUGACAACAGUUUUUCAGAACAAAGUGGAAAAUCUAUUUUGUUUACCAAGACUCAGCUGUUUGAAAGUGGCAGAAUAUAUCUGCAAGAAAAAAACUGCUAUGUUGAACAUAGUUAGGAGGCUGAAGCUCUGCAACUGAAAAAGACUCUUAUUAAAUGGAUAAGACAUAUAGGAGAUCUCUUUCCUUUGCUGGUAAUGGGCACAGACAGCGAUGCAGUGUCAGAGCUGCCCCUUCCCCGUGCUAGUGACAGUAGUGAUGCUGCUGAUGAAGACGAGAUUUCUUUGGAUGCACACAGUAUCCAAAGAACAAAUAGGAAGGGACAGCAGCAAUGAGUUUUUUUAAUAACCACAGGAACGCUAAGGAGGUUGUCAGGGAAAACAGAGAGCCGCGGGGAGACAGGAUGCACUGAAGGCUGAAGUUGAUGUCUUGAAUUCCUGGAGUCAAGGGCAAAACCUCUCCUGGCAUCUGCAGAGCCAGGAGCUCACCCUCAGCGUGCAAAGCACAAAGGGGUGAGCUGUGCUCACAUCGAGCUGACUGCAGAGCCCAGCCAGGCAAGUUCAGCUGCUCAUAACAAAAACUGUUCUCUUGAGAUAUUUUGAUUUCUGAGAGGCACAGACAUUUGCCCCAGUCCUGUUUCCUUAAAAACAGCAAGUGCAAAACUUUAUACAAGAGGCAACUCAUUUCCACAUCAGAAGGAAUUCCAUCAAGAAAUCAUUACUCCCCAUAAACCUUACAUGAUCAUUUAAAAGUAAAUCUUCUUAUUGUCUACUAAUAGCAAGGUAAAUGAAACAUAAAAUGACCAUGAGAAAGAAGUUUCUGAGCUCGAUAUGACAGCACGCUAAUUUGUGACAGCAGUUACUUCUCCCUAAGCUGAAUUUCAGAGCACAGCAGAGGUAUGUCAGCCCUAGUAUGUCAAGGGAGUUACUGUGGAAAACCUCCCUAUGUACCCAGAGACCAAUAUGAGUGAGGGUCUUCCUAUGUUCUAUUACAAGUAAUGUAUCUGUAGCCAGCCUUUGUCAGAAUGCACAUAUUAAUCAUCCAGUUUUACUGAGUAACUGGAGUAACAUUGCCACUGAAAAAAAAGACUUGUGAGAUGGCUUUUAGGAACACCAGCAAUCCAGAAAAGAAUUAGCCGAGAUGAAAAUUUAAGUCCAGGUUUUCAAAAGCUUCUUCCAUCUCUACUCAUUUUCCUUUGUUGAAAAGUGACAGUGAUUGAUGUCUUCUCCCACCCAAAGUAUGCCGCGGUUAUUGCUCCUUAUGGUUAGAAUUAAGCUAACAGCCCAGCUCAAACACUCACCCAUCUAGAUGAAGUAUUUAUUAGCCACGAAUCCCUCUG